GCCCUGCCCCCAUUUGCGGCAGUUCAGUAGAAUUCCGGGGUCUGACCCUGACUCAAACCUUGUUCCAACCAAGUAAUUUCGGCAUAGGGAAAGUGUCUUCAUGCCAGAAGUGGGCAUCUCUUAGCAGUGAACGGAGUGUAUAUGGGGGGGAGGGCAGUGUAUGAGGAAGAAAGGUAAGGGAGGCAGAGCAGCAAUUUGAUUGGAUUUUUCUGAUGGGACUUUGAGAUGAAAUGCCUGAAUACAUCAGAUCUGGAAUAAUCAUCCUUCCAGGGCAUGUAACCUAUGAGAAGAUUUAAAGACAAUCAGGAAGAAGAUGCUUCAUAUAUAACUUCAGAGAACUUGUCUGUGGAAAGAAGGCCUAUGUUUGCCUAUGAAGAGAGUGCGCAGGUUUCCAAGGUUGAAUGGUGACAGAGAAAGCAUUUAUUAGAUACUUUUUAAUAAUAUGCCAGGGAUGAUGCCAGACACUGAGAAUAAAAACACAAGGAAAAAAAAAAACACCCACACACCCUGUCUUCAGGCAGCUUACAUUCUAACAGGAGAAGAUGACAUCUGAAGAAAGCUGAAAAAUCCAAUGGAGGUGGGGAAUAUUUCCUAUAUGAAGACAAGGUCCAGAAGGAAUAUUAAACUGAACCAAGUUUGGAAUAAACAUGAUUGAUGGAAGAAGAGGGACAUUCAAUGAAACUGUGAAUUCAUUUAUUUU
Long non-coding RNA from Sarcophilus harrisii (Tasmanian devil), 700 nucleotides. RefSeq lists it as uncharacterized. The record is from RefSeq and is a predicted model, not a curated record. The transcript is spliced from 4 exons. NCBI's taxonomy places the organism in Eukaryota, Metazoa, Chordata, Mammalia, Dasyuromorphia, Dasyuridae.